GACAUCACACAGGUCCUGUACCUUCUCCCGCAGCACAGCCUGGAGCCCGACUCCUGCACAUGGUGGUAGAAAUUACAGCCCAGGAGGCUCCAUCGUGAAGGGUUGUCAGAAGAGGACACGCCUGCCCCCAGGUUCCUACAAUAUAGGAUCCGCUCACUGGAUAUCUUCUGUAUAAGAUCCUUCUCCGUAUUUACCCGACGAGAAUGGACAGGGACAAGAUGGCGGAGAGUAUAAUAAAUCUCACCCUAGAGAUCCUCUUCCAGUUUACUGGAGAGGACUACAUAGUAGUGAAGAAGACCUCUAGUGAGCGCUGUCAGGACCCUGUGUCUGAAG
Long non-coding RNA from Bufo gargarizans (Asiatic toad), 333 nucleotides. RefSeq lists it as uncharacterized. The transcript has 3 exons. The record is from RefSeq and is a predicted model, not a curated record. Lineage: Eukaryota; Metazoa; Chordata; Amphibia; Anura; Bufonidae.